GAUCCUGUAGCUCAGUGGUUAGAGCGACGGUCUUAUGAGCCGUAGGUCGUGGGUUCGACCCCCGCCGGGAUUA
RNAcentral lists this transfer RNA (73 nucleotides) under Perkinsus olseni. It matches the Rfam family "tRNA". From Rfam's summary of the family: Transfer RNA (tRNA) molecules are approximately 80 nucleotides in length. Their secondary structure includes four short double-helical elements and three loops (D, anti-codon, and T loops). Lineage: Eukaryota; Perkinsozoa; Perkinsida; Perkinsidae. The record is from Rfam by way of RNAcentral.